CUGACUAACAUUCUCUACGUAUCGAAACAUAUCAUUCAAGACAAAGUACCCUCUAUCUUGCGGUGCUAGGAAGAAAGUUUGACAGAAAUUUAGGAUCAAGUUGUCUUUCCCAGUUAAAUAUCCAGUCACAAGGACAUGCACCCCACCAUUGAAGGAUUCUUGGGCAUCCACAGACUUAAUCUCUGCUCUGAAUUCUCCAUAGUUAAGUGAGAGUAUGAUAUCCGGUCACAAGGACAUGUACCCCACCAUUGAAGGAUUCUUGGGCAUCCACAGACUUAAUCUCUGCUCUGAAGUCUCCAUAGUUAAGUGAGAGUAUCUUGUCAUUGAUUGC
Molecule: long non-coding RNA, 331 nt
Filed under: Nicotiana benthamiana
Lineage: Eukaryota; Viridiplantae; Streptophyta; Magnoliopsida; Solanales; Solanaceae
Description: long non-coding RNA (NBEN_LNC005727)
Source: RNAcentral